RNAcentral lists this ribosomal RNA (484 nucleotides) under uncultured bacterium. RNAcentral describes it as "partial 16S ribosomal RNA". It matches the Rfam family "Bacterial small subunit ribosomal RNA", at positions 28 to 523 of the family's 1533-position model. The record is from RNAcentral.
GAUGAACGCUGGCGGCGUGCUUAACACAUGCAAGUCGAACGGUGAAGCAGGAGCUUGCUCUUGUGGAUCAGUGGCGAACGGGUGAGUAACACGUGAGCAACCUGCCCCUGACUCUGGGAUAAGCGCUGGAAACGGCGUCUAAUACUGGAUAUGUGAUGUGACCGCAUGGUCUGCAUCUGGAAAGAAUUUCGGUUGGGGAUGGGCUCGCGGCCUAUCAGCUUGUUGGUGGGGUAAUGGCUCACCAAGGCGUCGACGGGUAGCCGGCCUGAGAGGGUGGCCGGCCACACGGGGACUGAGACACGGCCCAGACUCCUACGGGAGGCAGCAGUGGGGAAUAUUGCACAAUGGGCGGAAGCCUGAUGCAGCAACGCCGCGUGAGGGAUGACGGCCUUCGGGUUGUAAACCUCUUUUAGCAGGGAAGAAGCGAAAGUGACGGUACCUGCAGAAAAAGCACCGGCUAACUACGUGCCAGCCGCCGCCGUAA